UUCCAUGGUUCUUUCGUAUCCCCUUCUCUCCAAACUCUGCAUAUAAAUAGAGAGGAUAUUGAGGCGUAACAUUGUUUUUUGCUCAAGCGAAUGAGACUCCGGCAAGGGUGAUGAGGCUCUUUGAUAGCAACUCCUCUUGCGAUUUGAUCCUUUGAUCAAGUAUGAGCCGAUGAUUUCGACACCGAUUCACCACCAACUACUCUCUCUCUCUUUUUGAGGGCAUUCACGUAAUUUUGUUGUUGUUGCUGAUGUUGAUUUGUACUUGAGAUCGACGAGGCAAUGAUGAUGAAAUGUAGCCUGGUCAAAAUUGGAGUUUGGAGACCUGAUCUGUAUCUUCGCUGGGCAAUCCGGAAGGCAUUUUUUUGUCUUUUGAGUUUUCUCUCUCUAACAGAUCUGAGCCUCCGUUUUUGUGUUUUGUUUUUUGUUUUUUGUGUUUUUAAUUUUCAUAAGUAAGCAUGCCAACUGUUUGUAUUAUUGCCUCUAUGUUUCUUUUGGUUAAUCUGAAAAGUUAAUUGUUUAUUAAUAAUCUAAGAAGUCAUGUACACAUGUAGUGCUACAGAUUUUGCCUUCUAUCCUUUGUAAUAACUCUAGAAGCACCAUGAGAUUUGUGUAUAAAUGGAGAGGUGUAUCUUGCAUCAAGCAAAAUGUUUAUAUUGGGCAGUUUAGGUUACAUGUAAUGGGGGCACUUUUGUAUAUGUUAUAAAGGCCAGAUGCUCUCUCAUUCAAUGUCCAAUAUCUUCUUGAUUACAGGUUCGUCUGGAUUUUAAUGUCAAACGCAUACUUCUAUAGAAGAAGAAAUUGAUGUGGUGAGGUUGUUUUUUUUAGAAAAAACCGACGUUGCAGAUAUGGUGCUCUGAUUAAGAGAAAUGUUUGAUUGUGCUUUCAGUUUACUAUAAUUUUUCAUGUUAUUGUUUUUGAUUUUAGGUUCUUUUAUUGUUGGUUAUUGAUGUAGGUGAUAUGAAUAACAUAGCUAAAGUAUGAAAUUCAAUUGUGGACCAUUGGUUGACAAUUUAAAGUUCUUCAACAUGUUUGUUUAUGGCAUAUCUAUAAGGUUUACGAGUGUUUGAAGGAUUCACAGUGGAUUUUCAUCCAAGAUCAUGGGAAAUUGUGAGAAUUUAUAUUAUAUUUUAUAAAUCAUGAUUAAUUUGAAGUUAUGUUGUGAGAAUUUAUAUUAUAUUACAGGUGAGGAGACGUACUUCCAUUUUUUGGUUCUUUAAAUUAAAGUUUUGUUAGAAAAGUACUAUUUUACCCUUUGUCUACUUUAUUGCGGCUUUGAUACAGACGAGAGUGAUGUAUCACUCUAUAUGACAUCAAUUGCAUCCCUUUCACAUUAAGUAAAAAAAAAACUAUCCAUAAAGGUUUAUACAGAGACCGGGUUGGAUAUAAAUUUGUCUGGUUCACGGGCAACUGGGUUGUAUUCAACAUUAUUGAACAUUUAUUGGAGAUGUACAAUUAUUUUAUGUAUCUAUUAUUCUAUAUUUCAUCAUGACUCGAUUUUUAAUAAAAUUUAUAAAAUUUCAGGU
This is a long non-coding RNA of Lactuca sativa (garden lettuce), 1523 nucleotides long. RefSeq lists it as uncharacterized. The record is from RefSeq and is a predicted model, not a curated record. Lineage: Eukaryota; Viridiplantae; Streptophyta; Magnoliopsida; Asterales; Asteraceae.